GUGAUUUAACCCUAAUACCUGACUGGUAGAAUUCAUACAUAAGGUGCAGUAGAUUACAAGGCACACUGAUGAUUUUGGCAAGAUUAAAGGGUUUUGGAUGCGCCCUAAAGUUCGAAAAAUGGAUGUUGUAGAAUGCUGUAAUAACAAUAAGGUUUGUUGCCCGAGGGCAACAUUAUACCAUAGAUGGUUAAUACUCUCUUUCUCUUCUCUCUCUCAGCCAGCUUCUGCUCCAGUGUAUGAAACCGUCUCAGACCUGGCUAUGACCUCCAGGCCCUGCACAGGAGCUGCAUCCUCAGAUGAAGUUCAGUACUCAACCAUUCAAAACCAUUCAAAGCCUCUCUGCCCCACUGUUCAUCAGACACGCGCUUUUAAUAAAGAAGAGGAAGUUGAGUACGCCACAGUGAACACAGCUAGAGCAGGAAGUGUUGGGUAUGAAGAAUCCCCAGUCUACAGCAUGGUCCAGAACUCUGCCUAAGAUUAACAUUUUCCACCAUCAACAUACAGCCUCUCCAAACAGAUGCAGUUUAUUAGAGUGAAGAGCAAAUACACAGAUCCAUAUUAAAACAGCACUUCACUUUAAAACUAUAUAAAAAUAUUCAGAGGAAAACAUCCAUCGUUUACAUCCUGUGUUUUUUAUUUUACACUGGUACUGGUAUUAUGUUACAGAUUUUGUUUGAUAAUUUACCUUCUGAGUGGUAACCCACAAUUGAGAUUAGAGAUGCUAGUGAGAUUAGAUUAGCUAGUAGUGCAGAAUAGGGUAAAAAAUAUGAAUAGUAUAAUGAGGCAUCUCGGAGGGUGUGACCAUGGAGGGAUUUUUUUAUUUUUUUAUUUUACAGAUUAUGUUUUAAUGGCCAGUCAGUAACCGAGUUCCAGUCCAAUUCAAGCUUUAGCAAACAAACCUAUAUUUAGAGCUCUUCUCUAGCAAUCGAGAGUAUUAUUAGAGAAGUGUGAAUCUACCCUGGCUAUUAAAACCUGCUGAAAUUACAACAAAGAUAGCCCAUAAGUGUGUUAAAGGUUAUGGAGCUUAAAAACUAGCCUAAGUAUUUAAAUCUGUAUUGUGUAUUGUUGAAUUAAAUAGAUCUAACUUUUUGUAAACUUCAAAAAAUUGUGUUUUUUGCUUGUGAGGUAGUGAAAUUUGCUGUUGAAUAAAAUGCUUUUUAAAAUAUUUUCA
This 1171-nucleotide long non-coding RNA is filed under the name Astyanax mexicanus (Mexican tetra). RNAcentral's name for it is "lncRNA (ENSAMXG00005009625.1)". The record is from RNAcentral. Lineage: Eukaryota; Metazoa; Chordata; Actinopteri; Characiformes; Acestrorhamphidae.